RNAcentral lists this ribosomal RNA (440 nucleotides) under uncultured bacterium. RNAcentral's name for it is "partial 16S ribosomal RNA". It matches the Rfam family "Bacterial small subunit ribosomal RNA", at positions 338 to 795 of the family's 1533-position model. The record is from RNAcentral.
CCUACGAGUGGCAGCAGUGGGGAAUAUUGCACAAUGGGGGAAACCCUGAUGCAGCGACGCCGCAUGAGUGAAGAAGUAAUUCGUUAUGUAAAGCUCUAUCAGCAGGGAAGAAAAUGACGGUACCUGAGUAAGAAGCCCAGGCUAAAUACGUGCAAGCAGCCGCGGUAAUACGUAGGGGGCAAGCGUUAUCCGGAUUAACUGGGUGUAAAGGGAGCGUAGACGGCAGUGCAAGUCUGGAGUGAAAGGCGGGGGCGCAACCCCCGGACUGCUCUGGAAACUGUGCGGCUGGAGUGCAGGAGAGAGAAGUAGAAUUCCUAGUGUAGCGGUGAAAUGCGUAGAUAUUAGGAGGAACACCAGUGGCGAAGGCAGCUUACUGGACUGGAACUGACGUUGAGGCUCGAAAGCGUGGGGAGCAAACAGGAUUAGAUACCCUUGUAGUC